RNAcentral lists this ribosomal RNA (446 nucleotides) under uncultured bacterium. RNAcentral's name for it is "bacterial SSU rRNA". It matches the Rfam family "Bacterial small subunit ribosomal RNA", at positions 329 to 792 of the family's 1533-position model. The record is from RNAcentral.
CCCCAGACUCCUACGGGAGGCAGCAGUGGGGAAUAUUGCACAAUGGGGGAAACCCUGAUGCAGCGACGCCGCGUGAGUGAAGAAGUAUUUCGGUAUGUAAAGCUCUAUCAGCAGGGAAGAAAAUGACGGUACCUGACUAAGAAGCCCCGGCUAACUACGUGCCAGCAGCCGCGGUAAUACGUAGGGGGCAAGCGUUAUCCGGAUUUACUGGGUGUAAAGGGAGCGUAGACGGCAUGGCAAGUCAGAUGUGAAAGCCCGGGGCUCAACCCCGGGACUGCAUUUGAAACUGUCAGGCUGGAGUGCAGGAGGGGUAAGUGGAAUUCCUAGUGUAGCGGUGAAAUGCGUAGAUAUUAGGAGGAACACCAGUGGCGAAGGCGGCUUACUGGACUGUAACUGACGCUGAGGCACGAAAGUGUGGGGAGCAAACAGGAUUAGAUACCCGGGUA